AAAUUGAAGAGUUUGAUCAUGGCUCAGAUUGAACGCUGGCGGCAGGCCUAACACAUGCAAGUCGAACGGUAACAGGAAGCAGCUUGCUGCUUCGCUGACAAGUGGCGGACGGGUGAGUAAUGUCUGGGAAACUGCCUGAUGGAGGGGGAUAACUACUGGAAACGGUGG
This 168-nucleotide ribosomal RNA is filed under the name Salmonella enterica subsp. enterica serovar Stanley. RNAcentral describes it as "partial 16S ribosomal RNA". It matches the Rfam family "Bacterial small subunit ribosomal RNA", at positions 1 to 162 of the family's 1533-position model. The record is from RNAcentral. Lineage: Bacteria; Pseudomonadati; Pseudomonadota; Gammaproteobacteria; Enterobacterales; Enterobacteriaceae.